UACGGGGGGAGCAAGCGUUGUUCGGAAUCACUGGGCGUAAAGGGAGUCUAGGCGGUUUGGUAAGUGGGAUGUGAAAUGCCCGGGCUCACCCCGGGACCUGCAUCCCAAACUGCUGAGCUUGAGUACAGGAGAGGGUGGGGGAAUUCCUGGUGUAGCGGUGAAAUGCGCAGAUAUCAGGAGGAACACCGGUGGCGAAGGCGGGACUCUGGGCCGAUACUGACGCUGAGGAGCGAAAGCGUGGGGAGCGAACAGG
Molecule: ribosomal RNA, 253 nt
Filed under: uncultured bacterium
Lineage: Bacteria
Description: partial 16S ribosomal RNA
Rfam family: Bacterial small subunit ribosomal RNA
Source: RNAcentral